AGAAGAAACAAAGAACCCAAAGUCAAAGGCCACGCUGUUUACUUCUGACCAUAACUGACCGUAACUUGACUGUUUCAGAAAGAUGAGAGAAGUGCAGAGGAAAUCAUCAUCUGUCUUGGCAUGCUAAAAGAGGAGAUAAAUACAGUAGCAAAUAUGCUGCUAGGCCAUUGACCAGCAGUUGGGUACUAAGAAAGGAGAAGCUCUUAUUGACCUGUAAAAUGAAAACAGGACAUUUUCAAAUUGUUUUGUUUUAGGGAUGGGGUACAAGUAGAAGAUUGGUCAAUAUUAUGUACAUGUACCUUGAUAUGAAUUUAUUUUUAAUUGUGUUCAAUGAUAA
Mytilus californianus (California mussel) is the source of this 337-nucleotide long non-coding RNA. RefSeq lists it as uncharacterized. The record is from RefSeq and is a predicted model, not a curated record. The transcript has 3 exons. NCBI's taxonomy places the organism in Eukaryota, Metazoa, Mollusca, Bivalvia, Mytilida, Mytilidae.